AAAUAAGAAGCAAACAUUUGCAAUUAGUUUCGACCUAAAAAUUUGAUUUAUUAUAUCCUUAUUUU
This 65-nucleotide transfer RNA is filed under the name Fleutiauxia armata. RNAcentral describes it as "tRNA-Arg". Lineage: Eukaryota; Metazoa; Arthropoda; Insecta; Coleoptera; Chrysomelidae. The record is from RNAcentral.